Molecule: ribosomal RNA, 922 nt
Filed under: uncultured organism
Description: SSU rRNA
Rfam family: Bacterial small subunit ribosomal RNA
Source: RNAcentral
GCUCAGAUUGAACGCUGGCGGCAGGCUUAACACAUGCAAGUCGAGCGGGGAAGGGUAGCUUGCUACCUGACCUAGCGGCGGACGGGUGAGUAAUGCUUAGGAAUCUGCCUAUUAGUGGGGGACAACAUUCCGAAAGGAAUGCUAAUACCGCAUUCGCCCUACGGGGGAAAGCAGGGGAUCUUCGGACCUUGCGCUAAUAGAUGAGCCUAAGUCAGAUUAGCUAGUUGGUGGGGUAAAGGCCUACCAAGGCGACGAUCUGUAGCGGGUCUGAGAGGAUGAUCCGCCACACUGGGACUGAGACACGGCCCAGACUCCUACGGGAGGCAGCAGUGGGGAAUAUUGGACAAUGGGCGAAAGCCUGAUCCAGCCAUGCCGCGUGUGUGAAGAAGGCCUUUUGGUUGUAAAGCACUUUAAGCGAGGAGGAGGCUACCGAGAUUAAUACUCUUGGAUAGUGGACGUUACUCGCAGAAUAAGCACCGGCUAACUCUGUGCCAGCAGCCGCGGUAAUACAGAGGGUGCGAGCGUUAAUCGGAUUUACUGGGCGUAAAGCGUGCGUAGGCGGCUUUUUAAGUCGGAUGUGAAAUCCCUGAGCUUAACUUAGGAAUUGCAUUCGAUACUGGGAAGCUAGAGUAUGGGAGAGGAUGGUAGAAUUCCAGGUGUAGCGGUGAAAUGCGUAGAGAUCUGGAGGAAUACCGAUGGCGAAGGCAGCCAUCUGGCCUAAUACUGACGCUGAGGUACGAAAGCAUGGGGAGCAAACAGGAUUAGAUACCCUGGUAGUCCAUGCCGUAAACGAUGUCUACUAGCCGUUGGGGCCUUUGAGGCUUUAGUGGCGCAGCUAACGCGAUAAGUAGACCGCUUGGGGAGUACGGUCGCAAGACUAAAACUCAAAUGAAUUGACGGGGGCCCGCACAAGCGGUGGAGC